AUUGAACGCUGGCGGCAUGCCUAACACAUGCAAGUCGAGCGGAUGAAGGGAGCUUGCUCCUGGAUUCAGCGGCGGACGGGUGAGUAAUGCCUAGGAAGCUGCCUUGUAUUGGGGGAUAACGUCCGGAAACGGGCGCUAAUACCGCAUACGUCCUGAGAGAGAAAGUGGGGGAUCUUCGGACCUCACGCUAUCAGAUGAGACUAGGUCGUAUUAGCUAGUUGGUGGGGUAAAGGCCUACCAAGGCGACGAUCCGUAACUGGUCUGAGAGGAUGAUCAGUCACACUGGAACUGAGACACGGUCCAGACUCCUACGGGAGGCAGCAGUGGGGAAUAUUGGACAAUGGGCGAAAGCCUGAUCCAGCAAUGCCGCGUGUGUGAAGAAGGUCUUCGGAUUGUAAAGCACUUUAAGUUGGGAGGAAGGGAAGUAAGUUAAUACCUUGCUGUUUUGACGUUACCAACAGAAUAAGCACCGGCUAACUUCGUG
This 484-nucleotide ribosomal RNA is filed under the name uncultured bacterium. RNAcentral's name for it is "partial 16S ribosomal RNA". It matches the Rfam family "Bacterial small subunit ribosomal RNA", at positions 30 to 507 of the family's 1533-position model. The record is from RNAcentral.